UACGGAAGGCAGCAGUGGGGAAUAUUGCACAAUGGGCGCAAGCCUGAUGCAGCCAUGCCGCGUGUAUGAAGAAGGCCUUCGGGUUGUAAAGUACUUUCAGCGGGGAGGAAGGCGAUGCGGUUAAUAACCGCGUCGAUUGACGUUACCCGCAGAAGAAGCACCGGCUAACUCCGUGCCAGCAGCCGCGGUAAUACGGAGGGUGCAAGCGUUAAUCGGAAUUACUGGGCGUUAAAGCGCACGCAGGCGGUCUGUUAAGUCAGAUGUGAAAUCCCCGGGCUUAACCUGGGAACUGCAUUUUGAAACUGGCAGGCUUGAGUCUUGUAGAGGGGGUAGAAUUCCAGGUGUAGCGGUGAAAUGCGUAGAGAUCUGGAGGAAUACCGGUGGCGAAGGCGGCCCCUGGGACAAAGCUGACGCUCAGGUGCGAAAGCGUGGGGAGCGAAACAGGGAUUAGGAUACCCGU
Molecule: ribosomal RNA, 460 nt
Filed under: uncultured bacterium
Lineage: Bacteria
Description: bacterial SSU rRNA
Rfam family: Bacterial small subunit ribosomal RNA
Source: RNAcentral